Molecule: ribosomal RNA, 253 nt
Filed under: uncultured bacterium
Lineage: Bacteria
Description: partial 16S ribosomal RNA
Rfam family: Bacterial small subunit ribosomal RNA
Source: RNAcentral
UACGGAAGGUCCAGGCGUUAUCCGGAUUUAUUGGGUUUAAAGGGAGCGUAGGCCGUGGAUUAAGCGUGUUGUGAAAUGUAGACGCUCAACGUCUGAAUUGCAGCGCGAACUGGUUCACUUGAGUAUGCGCAACGUAGGCGGAAUUCGUCGUGUAGCGGUGAAAUGCUUAGAUAUGACGAAGAACUCCGAUUGCGAAGGCAGCUUGCGGGAGCAUAACUGACGCUGAAGCUCGAAGGUGCGGGUAUCAAACAGG